Molecule: ribosomal RNA, 301 nt
Filed under: uncultured bacterium
Lineage: Bacteria
Description: partial 16S ribosomal RNA
Rfam family: Bacterial small subunit ribosomal RNA
Source: RNAcentral
CAGUAGCCGCGGUAACACGUAGGGUGCGAGCGUUAAUCGGAAUUACUGGGCGUAAAGCGUGCGCAGGCGGUUUUGUAAGACAGGCGUGAAAUCCCCGGGCUCAACCUGGGAAUGGCGCUUGUGACUGCAAAGCUAGAGUGCGGCAGAGGGGGAUGGAAUUCCGCGUGUAGCAGUGAAAUGCGUAGAUAUGCGGAGGAACACCGAUGGCGAAGGCAAUCCCCUGGGCCUGCACUGACGCUCAUGCACGAAAGCGUGGGGAGCAAACAGGAUUAGAGACCCCUGUAGUCCCUGUCUCUUAUAC